GGUGACCGACCCCUUCGGGGAGCUUGCACAGGUGCUGCAUGGCUGUCGUCAGCUCGUGUCGUGAGAUGUUCGUUAAGUCCGCUAACGAGCGCAACCCUCGCUGUGUGUUAUAUGUGUCACACGGGACUGCCGGUCUUAAGCCGGAGGAAGGUGGGGAUGAUGUCAAGUCAGCAUGGCCUUUAUAUCCUGGGCUACACACACGCUACAAUGGCCAACACAAUAGGUUGCUAAGCCGCGAGGUGGCGCCAAUCCAUAAAGUUGGUCUCAGUUCAGAUUGUAGGCUGCAACCCGCCUGCAUGAAGAUGGAGUUGCUAGUAACCGCAGGUCAGCUAUACUGCGGUGAAUACGUUCCCGGGGCUU
RNAcentral lists this ribosomal RNA (360 nucleotides) under uncultured Leptolinea sp. RNAcentral's name for it is "bacterial SSU rRNA". It matches the Rfam family "Bacterial small subunit ribosomal RNA", at positions 1007 to 1382 of the family's 1533-position model. Lineage: Bacteria; Bacillati; Chloroflexota; Anaerolineae; Anaerolineales; Anaerolineaceae. The record is from RNAcentral.